UGGGGAAUAUUGGACAAUGGGCGCAAGCCUGAUCCAGCCAUGCCGCGUGAGUGAUGAAGGCCUUAGGGUUGUAAAGCUCUUUCACCCGGGACGAUAAUGACGGUACCGGGAGAAGAAGCCCCGGCUAACUUCGUGCCAGCAGCCGCGGUAAUACGAAGGGGGCUAGCGUUGUUCGGAAUCACUGGGCGUAAAGCGUACGUAGGCGGACCGUUAAGUCGGAGGUGAAAUCCUGGGGCUCAACCCCAGAGCUGCCUUCGAUACUGGCGGUCUCGAGUCCGGAAGAGGUGAGUGGAACUGCCAGUGUAGAGGUGAAAUUCGUAGAUAUUGGCAAGAACACCAGUGGCGAAGGCGGCUCACUGGUCCGGUACUGACGCUGAGGUACGAAAGCGUGGGGAGCAAACA
RNAcentral lists this ribosomal RNA (402 nucleotides) under uncultured bacterium. RNAcentral describes it as "bacterial SSU rRNA". It matches the Rfam family "Bacterial small subunit ribosomal RNA", at positions 355 to 774 of the family's 1533-position model. The record is from RNAcentral.